UGCAACCAUAACAGCUGUUAGACAUAGCAACAGGGAUAUUCUGGCAGUGUGUCUGGCUAGCAUUAGUUCUGAAUACGGUUGUGGUUUUGAUCACUAAAAUGGCUGUGACUUUUGGACUCUCUUUGAGUGUUUCUUUGCUUUGUUGCCUGCUAAUUGGAGGGAUAAAGUGUUUUCCACUUCAAGGUGAUGCUUAUGGGCAUCCUGCAUGCACUGGACCUGAACCAUCUGGAUCCCAAGCAAGUGUGGUGUCUGUUCCAAAUGCUAAAGCUACUGGCACCAAUACUCUGGCAAGUGUGACGCCGGGACAAAUGCCUCAGCUGUAGCAACUGCCAACCAUGCCUCAGCAGAAGCGGCUGGCCCCAGCGCCUCAGCUGGAGCAACUGCCAACCAUGCCUCAGCAGAAGCGGCUGGCCCCUGCGCUUCAGCUGGAGCAACUGCCAACCAUGCCUCAGCAGAAGCGGCCGCCGGCCCCCGAGCCUCUGCGGAAGCGGCCCGCGCCUCAGCUGUAGCAACUGCCAACCAUAGCUCUGCAGAAGCGGCUGGCCCCCGCGCCUCAGCUGGAGCAACUGCCAACCAAGAAGCGGCCCACACCUCAGCUGAAGCAACUGCCAACCAUGCCUCAGCAGAAGCGGCCCGCGCCUCAGCUGGAGCAACUGCCAACCAUAGCUCUGCAGAAGCGGCUGGCCCCGCGCCUCAGCUGGAGCAACUGCCAACCAAGAAGCGGCCCGCACCUCAGCUGAAGCAACUGCCAACCAUACCUCUAUGGAAGUGGCCCGCGCCUCAGCUGGAGCAACUGCCAGCCAUGCCUCAGCAGAAGCGGCUGGCCCCCGCGCCUCAGCUGGAGCAACUGCCAACCAUGCCUCAGCAGAAGCGGCUGGCCCCCGCGCCUCAGCUGGAGCAACUGCCAACCAUGCCUCAGCAGAAGCGGCUGGCCCCCGCGCCUCAGCUGGAGCAACUGCCAACCAUGCCUCAGCAGAAGCGGCCCCCGGCCCCCGAGCCUCUGCGGAAGCGGCCCGCGCCUCAGCUGAAGCAACUGCCAACCAUGCCUCUAUGGAAGUGGCCCGCGCCUCAGCUGGAGCAACUGCCAGCCAUGCCUCAGCAGAAGCAGCUGGCCCCCGCGCCUCAGCUGGAGCAACUGCCAACCAUACCUCAGCAGAAGCGGCCGCCGGCUCCCGUGCCUCUGCUGCAGCGGUAGCCGGCCUUGAUCAGACUGCCCGACCCCUCAACAAGCUAGAUGGGCAAACCAAAUUAUGAUCUCCCUAACUCCUUAAUCGUCUUUCCCCUGUUACUGUGCCUCCAUUUGAAGAAAAGGGCAAAGGUAACUGAGGUGAGGAAUUGUGCAAACUAAUGCACUUGUUUGAAAUGUGGAUCUCCUUCACUUGCGCAUCGUUAUGCAAAUUGUUUACAGGGGUGAACACUACAAUGGUAUGAAUUAUUUUCAAAAUCAUACGACUAAAAUUUACAUCUGAUUUGGCCACCAUUGCUGACACUUAGGUUGUACGGUUAUGAUUUUGAUUUGUCCUGGUGUUCCUGCUACUCUUACAUGAUUUGUUCAAUAAACAAUUUACUUCAAAUGCCUUGUCUUUCAAAUGUGGGUUCUCUUCUGUCUACCAUACGUUUGCUGAUUAGGGACAGACUGGGUCUGGAGAAAAAGGGAUUGUGGAUCACACCACUUGUGUAAACAGAUUUGUUUUCCUUUGUUUCUGGUAGUUGAGGAAAGGUUGACUG
Molecule: long non-coding RNA, 1728 nt
Organism: Oncorhynchus tshawytscha (Chinook salmon)
Lineage: Eukaryota; Metazoa; Chordata; Actinopteri; Salmoniformes; Salmonidae
Source: Ensembl